Molecule: ribosomal RNA, 447 nt
Filed under: uncultured bacterium
Lineage: Bacteria
Description: bacterial SSU rRNA
Rfam family: Bacterial small subunit ribosomal RNA
Source: RNAcentral
ACCAGACUCCUACGGGAGGCAGCAGUGGGGGAUAUUGCACAAUGGGGGGAACCCUGAUGCAGCGACGCCGCGUGGGUGAAGAAGCGCCUCGGCGCGUAAAGCCCUGUCAGCAGGGAAGAAAAUGACGGUACCUGAAGAAGAAGCCCCGGCUAACUACGUGCCAGCAGCCGCGGUAAUACGUAGGGGGCAAGCGUUAUCCGGAUUUACUGGGUGUAAAGGGGGCGCAGACGGCGAUGCAAGCCAGGAGUGAAAGCCCGGGGCCCAACCCCGGGACUGCUCUUGGAACUGCGUGGCUGGAGUGCAGGAGGGGCAGGCGGAAUUCCUGGUGUAGCGGUGAAAUGCGUAGAUAUCAGGAGGAACACCGGUGGCGAAGGCGGCCUGCUGGACUGCAACUGACGUUGAGGCCCGAAAGCGUGGGGAGCAAACAGGAUUAGAUACCCCUGUACA